UACGGAGGGUGCAAGCGUUAUCCGGAUUCACUGGGUUUAGAGGGUGCGUAGGUGGAUUGGUAAGUCAGUGGUGAAAUCUCCGGGCUUAACCCGGAAACUGCCAUUGAUACUAUCAGUCUUGAAUACCGUGGAGGUCAGUAGAAUAUGUCAUGUAGCGGUGAAAUGCUUAGAUAUGACAUAGAAUACCAAUUGCGAAGGCAGCUGGCUACACGAAUAUUGACACUCAGGCACGAAAGCGUGGGGAUCAAACAGG
Molecule: ribosomal RNA, 253 nt
Filed under: uncultured bacterium
Lineage: Bacteria
Description: partial 16S ribosomal RNA
Rfam family: Bacterial small subunit ribosomal RNA
Source: RNAcentral